UAACUUGUAAAGAAAUAGCUAAAGAAUAUUGUUUUGUUGUAAGUUCUCCUAUAUUUCAUUUCAUAUUCUUCAGCUUUUCUGGAUCAUACUAAGUGUACAACUGAGCUAAUUUAGUGUACUUAACUUUACAACUAACCAAGUGGAACUAUCCUCUACUACCUUCGUGUGGUUUGGUUUGUUAUAAUAUCCCCCCCAAUGAAGACUCGAAGAAUGUAGAUGGCAAUUAAUUAAUUGCUUUUUAAGCGCCAUCUGAUAGAAAUAGUGAAACAAUCGGCCCCACACCUUGAAAUGAUGGUGCCAACGUUUGACGUUCUUAUCACAUUCGCAUCUAACAUCAAACGACAGCUGUCAGAUUUCGAUAUUUAACGUUGCUUUCUGCAAUGAUAAAGCGUGCCGCACAGGACGUUGUGCGAAUAUUUGCAAAGCACUUGUGUGUUAUCUAGUGUAUUUGUCUGCGAUAACGAACUGCGGUGAGAUUGAUGCAAUUCGAUGCUACUGAAUAGGUUUUUAUGGUGGAAUUGCAAUUUGCAGACAGAUGUUGCAAAAGGUUCUUAAUGAGUGACACAUCCUGUCGUUGAGCGAAGCAAAAAAUGUAUUCCGACGACAGCAAAACGUUAACAGUGCAGACGCAAUCGACCUUAUCGUGUGCAUUAGCGACAUUGCUGAAGAAUUUAACACUCAUCCUUAUCGCUGCGCUCGGUUAACAAUUGAACGAAACACUGACAUCACCAUUCACAAACGAGUCGAUACACUUGAGCCAUUGAAAAGCUUGAUUCAAGUUUUGUUAAAAUAAAUUCUACUGUACAUACUGUUCGGUCAC
This is a long non-coding RNA of Anopheles stephensi (Asian malaria mosquito), 820 nucleotides long. RefSeq lists it as uncharacterized. The record is from RefSeq and is a predicted model, not a curated record. Lineage: Eukaryota; Metazoa; Arthropoda; Insecta; Diptera; Culicidae. The transcript has 2 exons.